GUGCUCACUUCGACAGCACAUAGACUGACACUAGAAUGAGACACAGAAGAUUAGCAUGGCUGCUGCACAUGCAAUGCAUUGUUCCAUUAAAAAAAUCAUCAAAAUGUU
Lepus europaeus (European hare) is the source of this 108-nucleotide small nuclear RNA. Lineage: Eukaryota; Metazoa; Chordata; Mammalia; Lagomorpha; Leporidae. The record is from RefSeq and is a predicted model, not a curated record.